AGAUAUUGCAGGGACCCAACUAGCAACCGGCAAUCCUUGUGAAGAAGCAUCUAGAAACCACAAACACAUCCGCCCUGAAGCUGCUGUCUGGGAGCCUUUCAAGUUAAUGAUCCCUGGGAGUUAAGAGUUGGAAUCAAAGGACCUGACUUAGUCUUACUUUCCAGUGCCCCGAGUUGGCACCGUUCCAGACCUGUUCUGCUGUCUCCUCCCAGAAACUGGCUGCUGAUUCUCAGAAGACCAGCGAGAGAAGUAGGCAAAGUUGGAGGAGAAAAGGAGAGUGGACACGUAGUCACCAUCAAAAUGUGCUGCCGGGAACUUUCCCAGUCUCACUCAGGGAUGGUGUGUCCUCUGCUCAUCCUAAUAGCUUUUAAUUACAAGCUUAUUAAAUGUCUGCCCUUAUGCCAA
Molecule: non-coding RNA, 405 nt
Organism: Rattus norvegicus (Norway rat)
Lineage: Eukaryota; Metazoa; Chordata; Mammalia; Rodentia; Muridae
Source: RefSeq, a predicted model, not a curated record